RNAcentral lists this transfer RNA (73 nucleotides) under Neotoma lepida (desert woodrat). It matches the Rfam family "tRNA". Rfam says of the family: Transfer RNA (tRNA) molecules are approximately 80 nucleotides in length. Their secondary structure includes four short double-helical elements and three loops (D, anti-codon, and T loops). Further hydrogen bonds mediate the characteristic L-shaped molecular structure. tRNAs have two regions of fundamental functional importance: the anti-codon, which is responsible for specific mRNA codon recognition, and the 3' end, to which the tRNAs corresponding amino acid is attached (by aminoacyl-tRNA synthetases). tRNAs cope with the degeneracy of the genetic code in two manners: having more than one tRNA (with a specific anti-codon) for a particular amino acid; and 'wobble' base-pairing, i.e. permitting non-standard base-pairing at the 3rd anti-codon position. The record is from Rfam by way of RNAcentral. Lineage: Eukaryota; Metazoa; Chordata; Mammalia; Rodentia; Cricetidae.
GGAGAUGCUGUUCAUUUGGUAGAGUGGCUGCCUAGCGUGUAGGAAGCCCUGGGUUCCAGCCCCAGCAUCCCCU